GCAACCAGAUAGUAAUGAUUGCUGUGAGAUCGAGCCUUUGGGAGAAGAAAAACCUGACGCGAGGGAAGACAGUUGGAAAAGGGCUAAGAACUAACUUCCCCUUGAAAAACAGUGUAGUAACAUCGAGGGCUACAAUUGAACAACAAUAUUUCAAGUUUAGCUACGCCACUGUCGUGAAUGUGUCCAAACGCCCUGGGAGACACAAAGCGCAUAUUUGUUAACGAAGUCUGUGGAUUCGUCUUUUAUCGCUAAAAUAAGGGAUGAUUCCAAUUGUUCAAAUGCAAAUGGGGAGGAAGAUUGGAUAGAAUAAAGAGUGAACCAGGAAAUCCUUUCAAGAUGGCUAAGAUUUAUGGACCCGGGAAACGUAAAAUACAGCGGCUUGAUAGAGAACAACAAAAAUAAAAGGACAAGUUGAUGAAAUGGAAAGUUAUUAUUCCAAAAAAAACAUUUAUGGAAUGUUAUUUAUAUUAAUAUUAAAUAGAAAA
Diorhabda carinulata is the source of this 485-nucleotide long non-coding RNA. RefSeq lists it as uncharacterized. NCBI's taxonomy places the organism in Eukaryota, Metazoa, Arthropoda, Insecta, Coleoptera, Chrysomelidae. The transcript has 3 exons. The record is from RefSeq and is a predicted model, not a curated record.